RNAcentral lists this ribosomal RNA (478 nucleotides) under uncultured anaerobic ammonium-oxidizing bacterium. RNAcentral's name for it is "bacterial SSU rRNA". It matches the Rfam family "Bacterial small subunit ribosomal RNA", at positions 364 to 832 of the family's 1533-position model. The record is from RNAcentral.
UUUCGCAAUGCCCGAAAGGGUGACGAAGCGACGCCGCGUGUGGGAAGAAGGCCUUCGGGUUGUAAACCGCUGUCGGGAGUUAAGAAAUGUAAGGAUGUUAAUAGCGUCUUUGCUUGACUAAGGCUCCGGAGGAAGCCACGGCUAACUCUGUGCCAGCAGCCGCGGUAAUACAGAGGCGGCAAGCGUUGUUCGGAAUUAUUGGGCGUAAAGAGCACGUAGGCGGCCGUGUAAGUCGGUUGUGAAAGCCUUCCGCUCAACGGGAGAACGGCAUCCGAUACUGCAUGGCUUGAGUGCGGGAGGGGAGAGUGGAACUUCUGGUGGAGCGGUGAAAUGCGUAGAUAUCAGAAGGAACACCGGCGGCGAAGGCGACUCUCUGGCCCGUAACUGACGCUGAGUGUGCGAAAGCUAGGGGAGCAAACGGGAUUAGAUACCCCGGUAGUCCUAGCCGUAAACGAUGGGCACUAAGUAGAGGGGUUUU